Molecule: ribosomal RNA, 656 nt
Filed under: uncultured bacterium
Lineage: Bacteria
Description: bacterial SSU rRNA
Rfam family: Bacterial small subunit ribosomal RNA
Source: RNAcentral
GCUAGUUGGCGGGGUAAAGGCCCACCAAGGCGAAGACGGGUAGCAGGUGUGAGAGCACGACCUGCGACAUCGGGACUGAGACACUGCCCGGACUUCUACGGAAGGCUGCAGUAACGAAUCUUCCGCAAUGGGCGAAAGCCUGACGGAGCAAUGCCGCGUGUGGGAUGAAGCGGCUCUGCCGUGUAAACCACUGUCAGGGGAUGGAACCAAUGAUUGUCCCCAAAGGAAGUGGCGACUAACUCUGUGCCAGCAGUCGCGGUAAUACAGAGGCCACAAGCGUUAUUCGGAAUCACUGGGCUUAAAGGGUGCGUAGGCGGCUCAUCAAGUGCUUUGUGAAAUCCCGCGGCUCAACCGCGGAACAGCAGGGCAAACUGACGAGCUUGAGGCAGGUAGGGGCCGACAGAACAGUAGGUGGACCGGUGAAAUGGGUAGAUAUCUACUGGAAUGCCGAUGGGGAAGCCGGUCGGCUGGGCCUGUCCUGACGCUGAGGCACGAAAGCGUGGGGAGCAAACAGAAUUAGAUACCCUGGUAGUCCACGCCGUAAACGAUGUGCACUAGACUGGUGCGGUUUUGACGCUGUAUCAGUCGUAGUAAAAACGAUAAGUGCACCGCCUGGGGAGUACGGUCGCAAGGCUAAAACUCAAAUGAAUUGACGG